UACGUAGGGUGCAAGCGUUGUCCGGAAUUAUUGGGCGUAAAGGGUGCGUAGGCGGCGCGGUAAGUCGGGUGUGAAAUUUCGAGGCUUAACUUCGAAACUGCAUUCGAUACUGCCGUGCUUGAGGACUGGAGAGGAGACUGGAAUUUACGGUGUAGCGGUGAAAUGCGUAGAUAUCGUAAGGAAGACCAGUGGCGAAGGCGGGUCUCUGGACAGUUCCUGACGCUGAGGCACGAAGGCCAGGGGAGCAAACGGG
This 253-nucleotide ribosomal RNA is filed under the name uncultured bacterium. Its description in RNAcentral is "partial 16S ribosomal RNA". It matches the Rfam family "Bacterial small subunit ribosomal RNA", at positions 524 to 776 of the family's 1533-position model. The record is from RNAcentral.